This 528-nucleotide ribosomal RNA is filed under the name Cronobacter sakazakii. RNAcentral describes it as "bacterial SSU rRNA". It matches the Rfam family "Bacterial small subunit ribosomal RNA", at positions 1 to 522 of the family's 1533-position model. Lineage: Bacteria; Pseudomonadati; Pseudomonadota; Gammaproteobacteria; Enterobacterales; Enterobacteriaceae. The record is from RNAcentral.
UGGAGAGUUUGAUCCUGGCUCAGAUUGAACGCUGGCGGCAGGCCUAACACAUGCAAGUCGAACGGUAACAGGGAGCAGCUUGCUGCUCUGCUGACGAGUGGCGGACGGGUGAGUAAUGUCUGGGAAACUGCCUGAUGGAGGGGGAUAACUACUGGAAACGGUAGCUAAUACCGCAUAACGUCUUCGGACCAAAGUGGGGGACCUUCGGGCCUCAUGCCAUCAGAUGUGCCCAGAUGGGAUUAGCUAGUAGGUGGGGUAACGGCUCACCUAGGCGACGAUCCCUAGCUGGUCUGAGAGGAUGACCAGCCACACUGGAACUGAGACACGGUCCAGACUCCUACGGGAGGCAGCAGUGGGGAAUAUUGCACAAUGGGCGCAAGCCUGAUGCAGCCAUGCCGCGUGUAUGAAGAAGGCCUUCGGGUUGUAAAGUACUUUCAGCGGGGAGGAAGGUGCUGUGGUUAAUAACCACAGCAAUUGACGUUACCCGCAGAAGAAGCACCGGCUAACUCCGUGCCAGCAGCCGCGGUA